This 364-nucleotide unclassified non-coding RNA is filed under the name soil metagenome. RNAcentral describes it as "partial contains 5.8S ribosomal RNA, internal transcribed spacer 2, and large subunit ribosomal RNA". The stretch from base 1 to 120 matches the Rfam family "5.8S ribosomal RNA", at positions 35 to 154 of the family's 154-position model. The record is from RNAcentral.
GAUGAAGAACGUAGCGAAAUGCGAUAAGUAAUGUGAAUUGCAGAAUUCAGUGAAUCAUCGAAUCUUUGAACGCACAUUGCGCCCGCCAGCACUCUGGCGGGCAUGCCUGUCCGAGCGUCAUUUCAACCCUCAGGCCCCCAGUGCCUGGCGUUGGGGAUCGGCGUGGGCUGGCAAUCCUCCGGGGUUGCCGCGCCUGCCGGCCCCGAAAUUCAGUGGCGGUCUCGCUGUAGUCCCCCUCUGCGUAGUAGCACAACUCGCAUUGGAGCUCGGCGGUGGCCAUGCCGUUAAACACCCCACUUCUGAAAGUUGACCUCGGAUCAGGUAGGAAUACCCGCUGAACUUAAGCAUAUCAAUAAGCGGAGGA